RNAcentral lists this ribosomal RNA (442 nucleotides) under uncultured bacterium. Its description in RNAcentral is "partial 16S ribosomal RNA". It matches the Rfam family "Bacterial small subunit ribosomal RNA", at positions 338 to 795 of the family's 1533-position model. The record is from RNAcentral.
CCUACGGGAGGCAGCAGUAGGGAAUCUUUCGCAAUGGGCGAAAGCCUGACGGAGCAACGCCGCGUGCAGGAUGAAGGCUUUCGGGUGGUAAACUGCGUUUGUAAGCGAGAAACUUGAUGGUAACUUUAGAGUAAGCAUCGGCUAACUACGUGCCAGCAGCCGCGGUCAUACGUAGGAGCCGAGCAUUAUCCGGAGUAACUGGGUGUAAAGAGUUGCGUAGGUGGCAUCAUAAGUAGCUGGUGAAAGCUGGUGGCUCAAACAUUCAGACUAUUCGGUAAACUGUUAAGCUCGAGAGCGUUAGGGGUAAAUGGAAUUCCUAGUGUAGCGGUGAAAUGCGUAGAUAUUAGAAGGAACACCAGUAGCGUAAGCGGGUUACUGGGCCGUAACUGACGCUAAGGCACGAAAGCGUAGGGAGCAAACGGGAUUAGAUACCCCUGUAGUC